This 465-nucleotide ribosomal RNA is filed under the name Vreelandella stevensii. Its description in RNAcentral is "partial 16S ribosomal RNA". It matches the Rfam family "Bacterial small subunit ribosomal RNA", at positions 338 to 795 of the family's 1533-position model. Lineage: Bacteria; Pseudomonadati; Pseudomonadota; Gammaproteobacteria; Oceanospirillales; Halomonadaceae. The record is from RNAcentral.
CCUACGGGGGGCUGCAGUGGGGAAUAUUGGACAAUGGGGGCAACCCUGAUCCAGCCAUGCCGCGUGUGUGAAGAAGGCCCUCGGGUUGUAAAGCACUUUCAGCGAGGAAGAACGCCUGGUGGUUAAUACCCAUCAGGAAAGACAUCACUCACAGAAGAAGCACCGGCUAACUCCGUGCCAGCAGCCGCGGUAAUACGGAGGGUGCGAGCGUUAAUCGGAAUUACUGGGCGUAAAGCGCGCGUAGGUGGCUUGAUAAGCCGGUUGUGAAAGCCCCGGGCUCAACCUGGGAACGGCAUCCGGAACUGUCAAGCUAGAGUGCAGGAGAGGAAGGUAGAAUUCCCGGUGUAGCGGUGAAAUGCGUAGAGAUCGGGAGGAAUACCAGUGGCGAAGGCGGCCUUCUGGACUGACACUGACACUGAGGUGCGAAAGCGUGGGUAGCAAACAGGAUUAGAUACCCUGGUAGUC